This 538-nucleotide ribosomal RNA is filed under the name Triticum aestivum (bread wheat). RNAcentral's name for it is "partial small subunit ribosomal RNA". Lineage: Eukaryota; Viridiplantae; Streptophyta; Magnoliopsida; Poales; Poaceae. The record is from RNAcentral.
AGAGAAACAGAGAGUGGUUGCGCUUUCUGCUCUGGCUUGCCUCAGCUAUUCCCCCGCAGCUCGCGUCGGCGUGCUCGUCGGGGCCAUGGCCUCAGCUCACCCCUGGCCUGCUUGCUUGCUUGCCGCCGCUCGCCUCUGUCCAGUCACCGGAGCUUGCCUCCAGUGGUGCAACCUCCAACUCCACCGCUGCCGCCGUCGAGCCGCCACAACUCCGGCUGCGAAACUGUGAACCAGCUAGAUCUGGCGAGGACCGAGGUCGCCCCGGGACGGAUUCAACGGGAACAGGAACACUUCAAUAUUGAACCGUCGGUGUUGUAUGAAAACCUUCCUCGCCUCCUGACCAUGGAGGUGGUUUGAGAGGUAAUCAUCAGUGAACUGCUUUGGAAAGGCCUGAAAACAAGGAUGUGCAUAAAUAUCUUCUCUAUAUUGGAAAUGGGGUAAAUGAAUAAAAAAAGGCAAGGUAUAAUAGUUAGUGCCAUCUUGUAGUGAACUGAUGUCUUCUUCAUUGUGCAGACAAAGAUCUUGUUGUUUUUUGUCG